CCUCGAGCUGCUCACCGCCUU
RNAcentral lists this microRNA (21 nucleotides) under Drosophila melanogaster (fruit fly). RNAcentral's name for it is "dme-miR-4941-5p". The record is from miRBase by way of RNAcentral. Lineage: Eukaryota; Metazoa; Arthropoda; Insecta; Diptera; Drosophilidae.